Mesoplodon densirostris (Blainville's beaked whale) is the source of this 3099-nucleotide long non-coding RNA. RefSeq lists it as uncharacterized. The transcript has 3 exons. Lineage: Eukaryota; Metazoa; Chordata; Mammalia; Artiodactyla; Ziphiidae. The record is from RefSeq and is a predicted model, not a curated record.
CCCCCAACCCUCCUCCCACCCCCUCCCCCAGCCCUCCUCCCACCGUCCCGGCUUCAGCCGGAGGCUCUCUCCUUCUCUUGGUUUUAUCCGUUAGGCUACUGAGCUGGUGAGCAUUCAUUCAAAAAUAAUCAAAACCUUGGAAAUCAUUGAUGAAGGCAGGAGAGCUCCCUGGAGGACGUGGCUGUGACCCGCAUCGUUUCUGGAGGGGCUACGGCGUGAGCGAUAACCACAGACUUAGUGGCUCAAACAACACGAAUUUGUCAUCUUACAGUCAUGGAGGUCAGAAGUUGGACUCGGUCUCACUGGGUUAAAGCCAAGAGCACCAUGGAACACAGCAGCCGUGCCUGUACAGAAAGCCACACUGAAAACUGCAUUAGGAAGAAAGAAAAGAGGAAAUGCUUUGGUAAUGGCAGUGUUACCCAGAGGCUGCAGGAAAAGACAUGGGAUGCAGUGGAGACCAGAUGCCCGUCUCACCUGCAGCAACGCCGUCGACUUGCUUGCCCUCUACCCACACAUCCCUGUCUUAGUAGUGUCAGGGGGGUGCCUCAGAAGCACCAAGGUGGUUACCCCACGUUUUCUCAUCACAUUCCUGUGACUGUGGUGUUAUCUUGGGAGAGUUACUUGAGUUCAUGGCUCUCGUGAGCCAUGUGUGUGAGACAGAAAGCUGCCAGCACAGUGGCUUUGAGACCACUUUAGAACUUCGAGCUCGCAUUUCAUGCCCAGAUCCUGGGAGGAGGGGACCUUUGGGAAACCAGGGAGCCACUGAGUGGUGGAGAAGAGCAUCUUGGGCAGAGGGGACAGCAAACCUCAGCCUCCGACUGGGAGCAGGUCGGUGAUUCACACACACAUCAGCAAGAAGCUGGGGUGAAGCAGAAAAUAGGGGGCGUUGGGCUGAGCAGGUGGGGUGAUGAACUUAGCCUUUGUCUGAUGGCUCAGGAAAGGAUGCCUGGAUCUGGCACGUGGGAGAGGCGUGGCUUGAUGGCUCUGUUCACUCUCCUUGGUUUGUGGAACACUUGCAGGUAGGGGCACGGUGAAGAGACCCCAUCCAGGGAGGGGUGAGGGAGGCUGUGGAUGCGUGUCAGGGAGGUGGGCUGGACUGGGUGUCCGUGAGGAUGGAGUGGCAGCAGGACCUGCCUGUGGGCGUGUGGAAACGAGGGAGCGUAAGUCCUCUGCAGGACCUUCAGAUUUCUCCGACAUUCGAUUCCUGGACUUCUUUUCUCUUUGUGGCAGAUUCUCAUCCAAGUGGUUUUAUCAGUUGACUUUGGAAGCCCUCAGGUGUUCAAUGAUUCCUGUUAGAAUUCAAUCUAGGACUUGGGCGCCUUAGUUUCAUCCCGAUAUCCUCUGAAGAGAACCUCCAGGACAGCAGCACUGGUGUGUCCAUUCGUGGUCUCUGUUUGGGGAGGAUGCUCCUCUGUGAAUGUUCCUAGUUCUCUGGAAGGGUCCCUGGGACCCAGCACUUCCGCGGGGGGGGGGGGGUGCUUCCUUAUGGCAGAUGUGCUUCUAAUUGAGAGCUUGAGGCUCCGUGUAGAUUCUCCACCCAUGAUGAUUGUACAAACAGCCUCUACUGGGGCUGAAGCCAAGGGCUCAGUGCAAUCACCGCAGCAGAGAUGGGUGUGCUUUAAAGAUGUGAUGAGGCUUCAGAAGUUGUCUUGCCUGCACUUAGGCUCUGAACACUGGAGUUUGAAACCCUGAUGAAACUGAGAUAUGUUUUCUCCCAAAUGCCCUGAUGAAACUGAGAUAUGUUUUCUCCCAAAUGUAUCAGAAUUCAACUUAAAGUGGAAGCAGAAGGAUAUCUUGUCAAACACUCAUAUCUGUUUCACAGGAAUACAUUGAAAUGGCAGGCGACAGGCUGCGGGCAUCUUAAGACCCACACGUUGUCCGCUAGUUAGUGUCAGGAUGGUCUCUGAAAGGCCGAGAUGCCUUCCCAGGUCGCUGGCCGACUGAGGAGCCUGAAAGCUGGGCAUAUAUUCAUUUAUGUUUUUAAAGGGAAACACGCAUUUUGUUAGAAGAGGGUAAAGAGCAUCAGCAUUUGGGGAAUUAAUACUUUAUUGAGUCCAUUUGUCUUUAUGCUAACAUUUUGUUUACUAUUACUUCAUGCGAUUAUGUCAAAAAAGUAAAAUAGAAGAUUACCUAUAGCUUCUGAUGAAUGUAGGCAGCAUUCGUGUUUGUUAUGUAUCUGAUUUAGGGCAGAACACCUGUCCUCCUGCUGUUUGUCUCUCUUCAACGCCUUCUGUCAUUUGGCUGUAAAUAAGCCCCAUUCACAGAAGGAAUGAGCCCAUUGUACAACAGAUCUGAUCUCCACAAGGAACCAGAAAUGAUACUUUGCUUGUAAAAUAGCUGUAUUCAGAAGCAUAUAACAUUUUGGUUUUCAGUUCUAAAUAUUUAGUGGGAACUGUUACUUAGCGGCAACAUCUGUCUGUUUGAAGCAAUAAACACGACUGUACAGGGAUUGUUUUUAAAAAUGGAUUCUUGGCCAUAAUUUGAGAGCCAGAGAGUUAUGGACUGAAUCGUGUCCCCUCCAAAUGUGUAUGUUGAAGUCCUAACCCCGGGAUGUGACUGUAUUUGGAGGUGGGGCCUUAGAGGAGGGUCUCUGUCCCACCUAUAAGAACACAGCCACGCACAGGGCAGCCAGGAAGCAGUUUGCUCUCUGUUGACUUCAGCUGCAGAGGGAGGUUGUUUUGUUUUUCUUCGUCAGAGUUGUUAACUCACAUCGUGCAGAGCCGGCCUCCUGAUGCUCUUUGUAAAUCCGGAGGGGCUGAAGGCACGUCCGUAAAGGAAGAAACACAGUGUGCAGUAACAUUUGUGGGUGUCAACAUGCAUGCACACAAAUACAUUCCACUUGGACUUUCUGGAAGAUUUCCUCACUUUGUUGACCUAUUAGCUUGCAUAGGAGAGAGAAAUUAUAUUAAUUCAAGAAAUCUAAUAAAUUUAAACCCAGCUGUUUGCUCUUAAGUUAUAAGAGCAAAGAUCAUAGAAAUCCAGAGGCCAAGCCAUUUGACAAGUCCAUGGCAGGGCUGAGAAGGGGAGGGAGUGAAAUGUUAUCCAAUCUGGGUGCAGCUCCACAGUGAUUUUAACAGUUGUCUACUAUGAAUUCUAAAU